This 73-nucleotide transfer RNA is filed under the name Nothobranchius vosseleri. Its description in RNAcentral is "tRNA-Asn". Lineage: Eukaryota; Metazoa; Chordata; Actinopteri; Cyprinodontiformes; Nothobranchiidae. The record is from RNAcentral.
UAGACGGAUGCUCUCUGGUUUGAGUAUUUAGCUGUUAACUAAAAGUUUGUAGGAUCGAGACCUACUCGUCUAG